AUGGCGGACGGCGACCAGAGCCAGCAGCCGCCGCGCUACUGGUUCCCCUACUGGAGCGGGCCGCCGCCCCCGGUGCGCCCGCAGAUGUCGCGCCGCCUCUCCCCGCCCCAAGCGCCCUCCUCGCCCGCAGUGCCGUCCUCGCCGCGCCGCCCCUCGCCGUCCCACCCCCGCCAACCCACUCCUCGUGCGGCUCAGAGCCAGGCGUCCUCCCGCCCGUCCCCGUCCCCGUCCCGGGCAUCGCCGCUCGCGCCCACCCGAGAGCUGCCCAACAGCAACUCCGUCUCCAACGCCAGGCCGCCUCCUAAGCCGGUCGCUCUGCCCGCGACGCCCAAGCCCAAGGACGUCGACGUCGUCCCGCAGCCGGAGAAAACCUCCGUGCACCCGCCUGCUGCUGCGGCUGAGACCAAGCAUGGCCACAGGGCAGCGCAUCACAACAAGGAGAAGGAGGUUGACAAGGAGAAGAAGGACGAGCACAAGAGCAAGGACAAGAAGCACCACGCCGGCGAGGACAGCAAGCACAAGGACAAGGAGAAGAAGAACCAUGCCGACGCCGGCGAGGAGAGCAAGCACGGGAAGGAGAAAGACAAGGAGAAGAAGCACCAUGCGGACGCCGUCGAGGAGGGCAAGCACAAGGGGGAGGAGAAGGAGGCCAAGGCGGAGCACGGGAAGCUGCACGGGGAGCUCAAGGCGGGCGUCGCCGACAUGGUGCGCAGGGCCACCGGCUCCGGGCACCAAGGGGCGAGCGUGAUCACGCUGGCGGGGGAGAACAAGGGCGCGUCCAUGAAGGUGGGCGGCGGCAUGGGCAAGGACGGCUCGUGGAAGGAGCACCACGGCGGGCACCGGCUGGACGGCGGCGCGGCGGACGGGAAGCCGGACGGGCAGAAGAAGCAGGGGAUGAUGACGGCGCUGAUCAACAGCAACGUGCAGGUGAUCAACAACUCGCUGCUGCUGCACAGCUCAUGCAGCGGCAGCGACCCCGGCGUGCACCUCAAACUCUCCGCCAAGUCCGCCAACAAAGACAAGCAGAAGCACGCCGCCGGUGCAGACAAGGAUGCCGCUGCAAAGAAAUGA
Molecule: ribosomal RNA, 1071 nt
Filed under: Triticum aestivum (bread wheat)
Lineage: Eukaryota; Viridiplantae; Streptophyta; Magnoliopsida; Poales; Poaceae
Description: partial small subunit ribosomal RNA
Source: RNAcentral